Molecule: long non-coding RNA, 1047 nt
Filed under: Parus major (Great Tit)
Lineage: Eukaryota; Metazoa; Chordata; Aves; Passeriformes; Paridae
Description: lncRNA (ENSPMJG00000002250.1)
Source: RNAcentral
GUGGGAUUGGGUCGGGGGGUCCCGGGACCGUCCAGACCAAGGCAGGGGUCUCGGGGAUGUCCAGACCGAGCCGGGGGUCCCAGGACCAGCCGGGCCGGGCCAGGGGGUCCCAUCCGGGCCCAGCCCCGGCCCGCGGUGCCACCCCCGUGUCCCGCCCCCCCUCCAGGGCCACGCGGACCCCGAGGGUCAGUACCAAAACCACCUGGAGGCCGAGGGGCUCUACGGGGACCCCGAGCUGCCGUACCCGCCCCGCGCCGAGCGGGACCUGCCCUACCCGGCCCACGGCGACCCCGACGGGGCGUACCCGGCGCAUCUGGACCGCGACGGGACCUACCCCGAACAUCUGGAGCACGACGGGACCUACCCGGAGCACCUGGAGCGGGAGCGGCCGUACCCCGGGCACCUGGAGCGGGACGCGCAGUUCGAGGCUCUGCCCGAGCGGGACGGGCCCUUCUCCGGCCGCGCCGAGCACGAGCGGCCCUACCCGAGCCGCAAGGAGCGGGACCGGCCCUACCUGAGCCGAGCCGAGCGGGACGGGCCCUACGCGGCCCGGCUGGAGCAGGAGGGGCAGUUCCACGGCUGCCUGGAGCGGGACCUCCAGUACCAGCCGCACCUGGAGCGCGAUGGGCAGUACCCGGGCAGGAUGGAGCAGGACGGACAAUAUUCCGGCCGCAUGGAGCAGGACGGGCAAUAUCCCGGCCGAAUGGACCGCGAGGGGCCGUACCCGGCCCGGCUGGACCGCGACGGGCAGUACCCGGAGAGGGACCCGCAGUACCCGGAGCGGGACGCGCAGUACCCGGCCCGGCUGGAGCAGGAGGGGCCGUACCCGGCCCGGUUGGAGCGGGAGGGGCCGUUCCGGGCCCGGGACGGGCACUACGGGCCCUGCUGGGAGCGGGACUGGGCGCGGGGGCCGCUGAGCCGCGGCCCCUCCCGCAGCUCCAGCCCCGGGGGGGGGCACAGCACCAGCGCCAGCACCAGCCCGGCCACGACCCUGCAGCGCAAGUACGGCCCCAAAAACCGCGAUCGGGGAUGGGGAACGGCCCCAAA